CAAUAGCGUAUAUUAACGUUGUUGCAGUUAAAGAGCUCGUAGUUGGAUUUCUGGAGGGAGCGUCGGCCCGUAUUUACGAGUGCGUGACGUCUCUGUCCAUCCUUGCGGGAAGGCACGGCAUUGAUUUGUUGUGUCGGAUCGCAUCAUUUACUGUGAAAAAAUUAGAGUGUUCAAAGCAGGCUUUCGCUUGAAUACAUUAGCAUGGAAUAAUAAGAUAGGACUUUGGUGCUAUUUUGUUGGUUGAGCCUAAAGUAAUGAUUAAUAGGGAUAGUUGGGGGCACCUGUAUUGCGUUGUCAGAGGUGAAAUUCUUGGAUUUACGCAAGACAAACAGCUGCGAAAGCGUCUGCCAAGGAUGUUUUCAUUAA
RNAcentral lists this ribosomal RNA (366 nucleotides) under uncultured eukaryote. RNAcentral describes it as "partial 18S ribosomal RNA". It matches the Rfam family "Eukaryotic small subunit ribosomal RNA", at positions 592 to 976 of the family's 1831-position model. The record is from RNAcentral.